UACGUAGGGCGCAAGCGUUGUCCGGAAUUAUUGGGCGUAAAGAGCUCGUAGGCGGCCUGUUACGUCUGCUGUGAAAUCCCGGGGCUUAACCCCGGGCUUGCAGUCGAUACGGGCAGACUUGAGUUCGGUAGGGGAGACUGGAAUUCCUGGUGUAGCGGUGAAAUGCGCAGAUAUCAGGAGGAACACCGGUGGCGAAGGCGGGUCUCUGGGCCGAUACUAACGCUGAGGAGCGAAAGCGUGGGGAGCGAACAGG
Molecule: ribosomal RNA, 253 nt
Filed under: uncultured bacterium
Lineage: Bacteria
Description: partial 16S ribosomal RNA
Rfam family: Bacterial small subunit ribosomal RNA
Source: RNAcentral